Photinus pyralis (common eastern firefly) is the source of this 499-nucleotide long non-coding RNA. RefSeq lists it as uncharacterized. NCBI's taxonomy places the organism in Eukaryota, Metazoa, Arthropoda, Insecta, Coleoptera, Lampyridae. The record is from RefSeq and is a predicted model, not a curated record. The transcript is spliced from 2 exons.
AUCAAUACGUCGUUGGUCACCGAUCGCAUCGCAUGUAACGUUCAAAAUGGUGCGCAAAGAGGUAUUGUUUUUAAUUUGCUUGUGGCUCGCGUUUUGCUAUGGGUCAACGAUCAGAAGACUAGCGUCGUACGACGAUGACGAUGAUGGUGGCGGAAUGUUUUUUCCAGAUCAACUUAUGAAUGCGAUAGCUUCAACAACUGAAGAUCCUGAGAUUAUUGAAAAAAGAAUAAUUUCCGUUGGCUCUAACUGUGCCCCAAACCAGGAUGUGGUUAAUGGAAAAUGCAGAAGAAAGUUUGGCAAACCUUAGCAAAGUGACCAUUAUGGUGAUAAAAACACAGACUGAAAUUUAGUGCUAAGAAAUAUCAUCGAAAGCCGGUACCUACCUACAAUACUCGUCUUUGUAGUACCUUAGAUUUAAAUUAAAAUUAAGAUAAUAAUUACAGUUUAUAUAGUACGAGUAAUUACACAUUAUUUAUAAAAUAUACCUAGUUUUGCUGCA